UACGGAGGAUCCGAGCGUUAUCCGGAAUCAUUGGGUUUAAAGGGUCCGUAGGUGGAUGGUUAAGUCAGAGGUGAAAUCCUGCAGCUCAACUGUAGAAUUGCCUUUGAUACUGGCUAUCUUGAAUCGAUGUGAAGUGGUUAGAAUAUGUAGUGUAGCGGUGAAAUGCAUAGAUAUUACAUAGAAUACCGAUUGCGAAGGCAGAUCACUAACAUCGUAUUGACACUGAUGGACGAAAGCGUGGGGAGCGAACAGG
RNAcentral lists this ribosomal RNA (253 nucleotides) under uncultured bacterium. RNAcentral describes it as "partial 16S ribosomal RNA". It matches the Rfam family "Bacterial small subunit ribosomal RNA", at positions 524 to 776 of the family's 1533-position model. The record is from RNAcentral.